RNAcentral lists this ribosomal RNA (481 nucleotides) under uncultured bacterium. Its description in RNAcentral is "bacterial SSU rRNA". It matches the Rfam family "Bacterial small subunit ribosomal RNA", at positions 8 to 486 of the family's 1533-position model. The record is from RNAcentral.
AGAGUUUGAUCCUGGCUCAGAUUGAACGCUGGCGGAAUGCUUUACACAUGCAAGUCGAGCGGCAGCGCGGGGCAACCUGGCGGCGAGCGGCGAACGGGUGAGUAAUGCAUCGGAACAUGUCCAUGUCGUGGGGGAUAGCCCGGCGAAAGCCGGAUUAAUACCGCAUAAGCCCGAGAGGGGAAAGCAGGGGACCGCAAGGCCUUGCGCGAUUGGGUUGGCCGAUGUCCGAUUAGCUUGUUGGUGAGGUAAAGGCUUACCAAGGCGAUGAUCGGUAGCUGGUCUGAGAGGAUGAUCAGCCACACUGGGACUGAGACACGGCCCAGACUCCUACGGGAGGCAGCAGUGGGGAAUUUUGGACAAUGGGGGCAACCCUGAUCCAGCCAUUCCGCGUGAGUGAAGAAGGCCUUCGGGUUGUAAAGCUCUUUUGUCCGGAGCGAAACGGUGGCGGUGAAUAUCCGCCACUACUGACGUACCGGAAGAA